GCCGAAGUGGCGGAAUUGGCAGACGCGUCGGUCUCAAAAACCGAUGGGGGAAACUUCGUGCCGGUUCGACCCCGGCCUUCGGCACCA
Molecule: transfer RNA, 87 nt
Filed under: Syntrophobotulus glycolicus DSM 8271
Lineage: Bacteria; Bacillati; Bacillota; Clostridia; Eubacteriales; Desulfitobacteriaceae
Also listed under: 1 other name
Description: tRNA-Leu (CAA) (tRNA-Leu-CAA-1-1)
Rfam family: tRNA
About the family: Transfer RNA (tRNA) molecules are approximately 80 nucleotides in length. Their secondary structure includes four short double-helical elements and three loops (D, anti-codon, and T loops).
Source: RNAcentral